AAAUUGAUGCACUCAGUGGGGGAGCCAGGAAGUAUUGAUGUUUCUGCCAGUUUAGCGUCAACACUUGCUGGUUUCCUCUCUGGAGCAUCA
Molecule: microRNA precursor, 90 nt
Organism: Cavia porcellus (domestic guinea pig)
Lineage: Eukaryota; Metazoa; Chordata; Mammalia; Rodentia; Caviidae
Gene: MIR505
Product: microRNA 505
Source: Ensembl